UGAUAACAAGAACCUAAAAAAUUAUAAGAAUUUAAAAUUAUUUGAGAGAGCAGAAACUCAGAAAAAAUAAAUAAAAUACAAGAAUUUAGAAAACCCUAAAAAUCCAAUGGAUCCAAUGAACAAUAAGGGCAAUUCCUCCCUUGAAUUUGUUGACCCUUAACUCCAUUACUUGAAUAACUUCUACUAGGCUCCAAGAAAACCAAUUCUUUGUUGUUGCCUUGGCAGUGGUGCUACUACUGCUUCUUUUAGCUCCUCA
RNAcentral lists this long non-coding RNA (256 nucleotides) under Gossypium barbadense (sea-island cotton). Its description in RNAcentral is "long non-coding RNA (GBAR_LNC014302)". The record is from RNAcentral. Lineage: Eukaryota; Viridiplantae; Streptophyta; Magnoliopsida; Malvales; Malvaceae.